Molecule: ribosomal RNA, 371 nt
Filed under: uncultured organism
Description: bacterial SSU rRNA
Rfam family: Bacterial small subunit ribosomal RNA
Source: RNAcentral
CGAAGGGGGCUAGCGUUGUUCGGAAUCACUGGGCGUAAAGCGCACGCAGGCGGAUUGAUAAGUCAGGGGUGAAAUCCCGGAGCUCAACUUCGGAGUUGCCUUUGAUACUGUCUGUCUUCGAGUUCGGGAGAGGUUGGCGGAAUUCCUAGUGUAGAGGUGAAAUUCGUAGAUAUUAGGAAGAACACCAGUGGCGAAGGCGGCCAACUGGCCCGAUACUGACGCUCAUGUGCGAAAGCGUGGGGAGCAAACAGGAUUAGAUACCCUGGUAGUCCACGCUGUAAACUAUGGAUGCUAGCCGUUGGGGAGCUUGCUCUUCAGUGGCGCAGCUAACGUCUUAAGCAUCCCGCCUGGGGAGUACGGUCGCAAGAUUA